Oncorhynchus masou masou (cherry salmon) is the source of this 2324-nucleotide long non-coding RNA. RefSeq lists it as uncharacterized. The record is from RefSeq and is a predicted model, not a curated record. The transcript has 2 exons. NCBI's taxonomy places the organism in Eukaryota, Metazoa, Chordata, Actinopteri, Salmoniformes, Salmonidae.
UCCCUCUGGAGUUAAACAAAAGACAUGUUGACACCUACAGCUGUGAGGCUUCCAACCCUGCUGACUCAAAACCAACUCCGCUCAUCAUUGAAACGCUCUGCCCUCAAUUGUCCUCACGCUCUGCCCUCAAAGGGUCUGGUCGCAAUCCUGUCCCAAUCAUACUGGUCACAUUGUUAGCAGUUGGGAUAAUAAGUGUUGGUACUUACUGGGCAGUUAAAAUAAGGAAAUGUGGAGGUAAGUACAAUCUGUGUUACAGUUGACAUCAUACAGAGCACCCUGAAGGCAACAAACACAGAACAUACACUGUAGGUAAUCAUGUAAUAUUAUGCCUUUUCCCUUUAUUUCAAUGCAGCCUGCAAGCAAAGAGAAGCAGCCCAACAUUAUGCUGAUGUGAACUUUCAGAGAUCGGUAAGGUCUGUGUUUAUGGAUGUGUGCAUGCACUGUGUAUAUAUGUGCAUGCAUAUUAUACUACUUUCCAUGCAACUUCUGUAUCUGUGAACACACACACACACACACAUAUUUAGGAUGGAAGUGGUCACCUGUUGUUGGCUUGUAUAACAUACUAGCCAAUGUGAAAAUACAGAAUACACAAGAACAAGCACAGUUUGCAAAUGGGUGGAUCUUAUUGAAUUACAGGCUUCUGUUUCUAUUUGUUUAUGUGCUGGCUUUACAGGUUGGGGAUACACUGGUAUCUGGCACCGGAGGAGUCUGUUCACCAGAAGAGGAGUCUGUUUUGUACGCUGAUGUCAGAAUCUUACCUUCUGUUCAGACAGGACUGGAUUCAAUCACUCCUCUCUCAAAGCUGUGACCUUGGCGUGGUUUAGAGGCUUGUGUGUCUCAAUGACCCCGAGAGCUACGCCGGAGGGGGCUUGGGCCCCUGGUAGGUUUAGCCAUUCCGGAUUGGUCUCCGGUGAGGGGCCAGACCAACAACAGCAUUGGUCCUACAUGUUUCACGUUGGUAUGGUGCUAUAGGUAGGCAACUAUACCACUCUGACUAUGUUACAUGCUGUGUGUACAGUUGAAGUCGGAAGUUUACAUACACUUACGUUAUAGUCAUUAAAACUUGUUUUUCAAGCACUCCACAAAUGUAUUGUUAACAAACUAUAGUUUUGGCAAGUCGGUUUGGACAUCUACUUUGUGCAUGACACAAAUCAUUUUUCCAACAAUCGUUUGCAGACAGAUUAUUUCACUUAUAAUUAUAAUAAACGGCGGUGUAGUUAUAAUAUUUACAUGUGAUCAGAAGCAUAGCUGAUAGGAAUGUGUUUUACAGAAAUCAGGCCUACACAGAAUACUUCUGAUCUUCUGUACAUCACUGUUCUAUCUGCAAGGUUCUUUGAAACAUCCCCUGAUGUUAGUCUAACAACAAAACCCACAAAUGGAGAGAGAGUGUGGGACUCUUAUGGUUGCUCAAUUAAGACUACAAAUAUACAUGUAUCAAAAUGAACAUGUCAUCCAAUGUAGAUUGCAUCAACCCCUUCAUCAUCCCCAUAGUAUAGUCGGUGCGUAUGUGUGUGCAUGCAUAUGCAUGUGUGCAUCCGCGAUUGCAUGCUGUGUAGAAAUGAGCUUCUUUCACACCAUAGCGUGUGGUUAUCGCUUCUCUGUCUGUUCUCUUUGUAGACAGUAGCCUAUAUGGGUCAGUCACUCUCAUUCUCACUUGCUUAUAAGAGAGAUGUGGUACCUUCCUCCAGCACUGUACAGCUUCUCUUACACAAAAUAGCUCAAGCAACAAGCCAUGCUCUCUAUCCCCUUUGGAUAAGAAAGGAGAUAUAACAGGUAUAACAGACUGACCUUUGCCCCCUGACAUAUAAACUAUUACAGCAUAAAUACUGGAGGCUGAGACAGGAGGACUCGGGAGACACUGUGGCCCCGUUCGACGAUACCCCCGGACAGGGCCAAGCAGGCAGGAUUUAACCCCACCCACUUUGCCAAAGCACAGCCCCAAACCACUGGAGGGAUAUCGUCAAACCACCAACUUACAACCCUGAGACAAGGCCGAGUAUAGCCCACGAAGAUCUUCCCCACGGCACAAAGAGGAGGAGGAGGAGGAUCAAGAAGAGGAGGCGGAACAAGCAAAAUAGCCUGGAUAAAUCCAGUAUGUUUGUGCUAUCAUAUCAACUCCUUGUCCUUGUCAUGCCAAACACCGGCAUGUUUGGCAUGACAAUGAGUGAAAAGGAUUUGGCAUGAUAGCACAGACUGGAUUUCUCCAGGCUACAAGCACACGCCAUAAAAUGGGAACUAGAAUUAACUAAGUUGUGUUAGAAUUAUGCCAUAGGCUCUGUAAUAUAUGCAGAUUUAAUAAAAUGGUGCAGUUAUCGUGCAUUUAA